RNAcentral lists this long non-coding RNA (847 nucleotides) under Capsicum annuum. Its description in RNAcentral is "long non-coding RNA (CANN_LNC000738)". Lineage: Eukaryota; Viridiplantae; Streptophyta; Magnoliopsida; Solanales; Solanaceae. The record is from RNAcentral.
AAAACAAACACGCAUUCAUCACCAACAAAGAUCAAACCAACACAUGAUAUUCAAUCCAACACGCCAAAUAUAGUAAACAAUAAAAUAAAAGAGAAAAAGAGUACAAUUGGACCUCAAUUAUCAAUUUUGAUAUAUCAAAGAUAGAACUGCGUUCGGAAAACCUCGAUUCGAACCUAGACAUGAAACAAAAAUCCAAACUCGGUAUCAAAUUCAACCCGCUACUGAUCUUGAUGAAUACUGAGGUGAAUAUAACUCUAAAUCACAAAUAUUGACACCACUUAAUCAUGAAAACCCCCAAAGCACAGUAUUAAAAACGAAUCACGAAGACAGACGAACCCAAAGCCCUCUUAAAAUCCAACAGUCUAAAACCUGUACAAUCUGAGCUCCUGUAAGCUGAUGGUGGAAAAAGUCGACAAGAAAAUGGUUGGAAAGAAACUGACGGUGCUGUUUUUCGGUGAUUUUCACCGAAAACAGUAGCGUAUGGAGACAACAAGGUUUUCGGCGAGUUUUUGAUGAGAAACUCACCGACACCCUCAAAUUGUCCUUAUUCCUCACCCUCUUUCCUUCGAUUUUAUCAUUUCUCUCCAAUUUACCUCACUUUGUUCAUCACUUUUGAUCAAUUUUCUUUAUUUUUUCCAAUGCGUGUGAGUGUAUCAUUGUGGUAUUAAGGUGGGGGGUGUUCGUGUAUGAUUUUCAGUGAGUGUUCAAGAGAUUUAUGUGUGUGCAUCUGUGUAUUUGUUGUGAGGAUCCUUCUGAGAGUGUGUAUGCUGUUAUUCCCUAGAAAUAAAUGUGUGUUCCUCUGUAUCCUUAUCCCCUUAAUGGAAGGAAAACAGAGGAGUCUAUGUCC